This 73-nucleotide transfer RNA is filed under the name Pteropus alecto (black flying fox). It matches the Rfam family "tRNA". From Rfam's summary of the family: Transfer RNA (tRNA) molecules are approximately 80 nucleotides in length. Their secondary structure includes four short double-helical elements and three loops (D, anti-codon, and T loops). Lineage: Eukaryota; Metazoa; Chordata; Mammalia; Chiroptera; Pteropodidae. RNAcentral also lists the same sequence under 1 other name. The record is from Rfam by way of RNAcentral.
GGUUUUAUAGUGUAGCAGUUAGCACGGCUGCCUUACACGUGGAAGGUCCUGGGUUCGCGCCCCAGUGGAGCCA